This 254-nucleotide ribosomal RNA is filed under the name uncultured bacterium. Its description in RNAcentral is "partial 16S ribosomal RNA". It matches the Rfam family "Bacterial small subunit ribosomal RNA", at positions 524 to 776 of the family's 1533-position model. The record is from RNAcentral.
UACAGGGGGGGGCAAGCGUUGUUCGGAAUUACUGGGCGUAAAGGGCUCGUAGGCGGCCAACUAAGCCCGACGUGAAAUCCCCAGGCUUAACCUGGGAACUGCGUCGGAUACUGGAUGGCUUGAAUUCGGGAGAGGGAUGCAGAAUUCCAGGUGUAGCGGUGAAAUGCGUAGAUAUCUGGAGGAAUACCGGUGGCGAAGGCGGCAUCCUGGACCGACAUUGACGCUGAUGAGCGAAAGCUAGGGGAGCAAACGGG